Molecule: ribosomal RNA, 80 nt
Filed under: Sphenodon punctatus (tuatara)
Lineage: Eukaryota; Metazoa; Chordata; Lepidosauria; Sphenodontia; Sphenodontidae
Source: RNAcentral
ACUUAUGGCCGUACCAUACUGAAUGCACCUGACUUCAUCUAAACCCAGAAGCUAAGGAGUUCUGGGUCCAGCUAUUGCUU